RNAcentral lists this ribosomal RNA (396 nucleotides) under uncultured bacterium. RNAcentral's name for it is "bacterial SSU rRNA". It matches the Rfam family "Bacterial small subunit ribosomal RNA", at positions 521 to 916 of the family's 1533-position model. The record is from RNAcentral.
UAAUACGUAGGGAGCAAGCGUUGUCCGGAAUCAUUGGGCGUAAAGCGCGCGUAGGCGGCCCGAUAAGUCCGCUGUGAAAGUCAACGGCUCAACUGUUGGAUGCCGGUGGAUACUGUCGGGCUAGAGUACGGAAGAGGCAAGUGGAAUUCCUGGUGUAGCGGUGGAAUGCGCAGAUAUCAGGAGGAACACCUAUAGCGAAGGCAGCUUGCUGGGACGUUACUGACGCUAAGGCGCGAAAGCGUGGGGAGCGAACAGGAUUAGAUACCCUGGUAGUCCACGCCGUAAACGAUGAGAACUAGGUGUGGGAGGUGUCGACUCCUCCCGUGCCGUCGCUAACGCAUUAAGUUCUCCGCCUGGGGAGUACGGCCGCAAGGCUAAAACUCAAUGAAUUGACGG